CUGGUCUCAAGUGGUGGGUAGA
This 22-nucleotide microRNA is filed under the name Lingula anatina. RNAcentral describes it as "Lan-Mir-29-P1h_5p* (star (passenger))". The record is from RNAcentral. Lineage: Eukaryota; Metazoa; Brachiopoda; Lingulata; Lingulida; Lingulidae.